RNAcentral lists this long non-coding RNA (1061 nucleotides) under Mytilus galloprovincialis (Mediterranean mussel). The record is from RNAcentral. Lineage: Eukaryota; Metazoa; Mollusca; Bivalvia; Mytilida; Mytilidae.
UGGGCUAUGUUUUCGUUUUCUUUUGAAUAUAGUUUUUCGUAAAAUUUCUUUUCAAUUUGAAGUAUUUCACUUUGAUCUGUAACAAUAUUUCCUUGGUCAUCUUUUAGUUUUAUUAUUGUUUUUUUUGUUUGUUUAUUUUUUUCUAGGCCUAAAAAGUAAGCUGUAUUUUUUUCGCCUUUUUCUACCCAAUCUUGUUUAGACCUUAAUUGGGCGCCCUUAGCUUUAUAUUCAUAAUGUGUUUCUAGCUGAUUUUCAAUUUGAUUUAUUUUUUGCAAAAUAUCAUUAUUUUCAUUUUUUUGGUAUUUUUCAGUUAAGAGUGUUAAUUUUUUUUCCAUUUGCUUUAUUUCGUUAUUUUUAUUGUAAGCUCUACUUUUGCAAUAAUUUAUUGUAAAUAGUUUAAUAUCAAGUUUAAUCGCGUCCCAAAGAAGAUGCACAUCCGUAGUUGUGUCUUGCAUGAUAGUUUUAUAUUUUGCAAUUAUUGUUUCUAUUUCUUUACAAUAUUCAUUUUCUUCUAAAAUAGAAUUAUUUAAUUUCCAGUAUCCUGGACCUUUACUUUCGGCCGUUACGCUUUGUAAUUUAAGAGAUACGCCUUGGUGGUCUGUGCUUUUUAUUAAUGCGGGUCUUAUAUCGCUUGAUUUUGUAUUGAGCACAAAAUCUUUAUUAAUUAAAAAGUAAUCAAUUCGACUUGCUUGACUGAAGUUUUGUCUUUUCCAGGUAAACUGUACUUUUUUCGGAUUUAAAUAUCUCCAUAUAUCGAUUAGAUUGUGUGUUUUAAUUAAAGAUUUUAAACUGUUUACUGGUUUUAUAUUUUUUCGUUUUCCAUUAGUAAGUUUUCUAUCUAAGUUUGACAAUGCAUCGUUCAUGUCGCCGCCUAGUAUUACUGUUCCAAUUGCAUAAUUACUUAUGAAAUCAGAGAGAUUUUUAAAGAACUUGUUUCUUUCCGUUUCUAUGUUUGCGGCAUAUAUGUUAAUGAGCGAAUAAAUUAUGUUUUCUAUUUCUAUAUUUAACAUUAGUAUUCUACCGUCUUUGUCUUUGUUUUCAUUAAUUACUUUACAUUCUAA